UCAAGCGAACAAGGGCGCAGGGCGAAUGCCUUGGCACUGGGAGCCGAUGAAAGACGUGAUAAGCUGCGAUAAGCUUCGGGGAGCUGCAAAUAAGCAUUGAUCCGGAGAUUUCUGAAUGAGGAAACUCACCUGGGUUCAUACUCAGGUACGUUAUACUGAACUUCAAAAUAGGUAUAUCGAGGGAACCGCCUGAACUGAAACAUCUAAGUAGGGCGAGGAAGAGACAUCAAACGAGAUUCCGUAAGUAGUGGCGAGCGAACGCGGAAGAGGGCAAACCGAGAGUAGAAAUACUUUCGGGGUACGGACUGCUUUUAGGACUUAAUCUGUUAACCGAACGGCAUGGGAAGGCCGGUCAGAGAGUGUGAGAACCACGUAGGUGAAAACGGAGAGAGCUGCGCAGAUUCCAGAGUACGGCCAGACACGUGAAACCUGGUCGGAAGAUGGGGGGACCACCCUCCAACCCUAAAUACUACCCAGUGACCGAUAGCGUAUAGUACUGUGAAGGAAAGGUGAAAAGCACCCCGGGAGGGGAGUGAAAAAGAACCUGAAACCCUGUGCCUACAAGCACCUAGAGCACGUCAAUGUGUGAUAGGGUACUUUUUGUAGAACGGUCCGGCGAGCGAUUGUAUGCAGCAAGGUUAAGGACUUAAGGUCUGGAGCCGAAGCGAAAGCGAGUUUGAAAAGGGCGUUAAGUUGCAUAUAAUGGGCCCGAAACCGGGUGACCUACCCAUGGUCAGGUUGAAGUGGAAGUAAAAUUCCAUGGAGGACCGAACCGACCUCCGUUGAAAAGGCGGCGGAUGAACUGUGGGUAGCGGAGAAAUUCCAAUCGAACCCGGAGAUAGCUGGUUCUCCCCGAAAUAGUUUUAGGACUAGCCUCAAGUUAGAUACCUGGAGGUAAAGCACUGAAUAGCCUAGCGGCCGAGAGGUUAGCGAAGCUUAUCAAACUCAGAAUGCCAGAGUAUUGAUGCUUGGGAGUCAGACAGUGUCAGAUAAAUGUCAUUGUCAAAAGGGAAACAGCCCAGAUCUACAGCUAAGGUCCCAAAGUCAGGUUAAGUGGAAAACGAUGUGAAGAUACGCAGACAACCAGGAUGUUGGCUCAGAAGCAGCCACUCAUUCAAAGAGUGCGUAAUAGCUCACUGGUCGAGCGUCUUUGCGCGGAGAAUUUAACGGGGCUAAACCUGACACCGAAGCUUAGGCAAUACAGUAAUGUAUUGGGUAGGGGAGCGUUGUAUACGCGGAGAAACAGUAGCGUAAGCGGCUGUGGAGUGUAUAGAAGUGAGAAUGCCGGAAUGAGUAGCGCGAAUGCAGUGAGAAUCUGCAUGGCCGAAAGCCUCAGGUUUCUGGAGGAAGGUUCGUCCGCUCCAGGUUAGUCGGGAGCUAAGGUGAGGCCGGAAGGCGUAGCCGAUGCACAGACGGUAGAGAUUCCGUCACCACCAAAAGAGUUAAGCACAGGGACACAUUUGAAGUCUCAGAGCCGGGUGUUGGUUCCGGUAGAGAUCGAGGGAAAUUAGUACCGAAGUCUGAGAUGGAAGAUGGCGAGAAAAGCUGUGUGUAUUUCUGAGGUGCCCGUACCGCAAACCGACACAGGUAGGUAGGAAGAAGAUUCUAAGGCCAACGGGAGAAGGGUUGUUAAGGAACUCGGCAAAUUGACCCCGUAACUUCGGGAGAAGGGGUGCUCCAGAGAUGGAGCCGCAGAGAAUCGGCCCAAGCAACUGUUUACCAAAAACACAGGUUUGUGCUAAAUCGAAAGAUGACGUAUACGAGCUGACGCCUGCCCGGUGCUGGAAGGUUAAGAGGAGAUGUGCAAGCAUUGAAUCGAAGCCCCAGUGAACGGCGGCCGUAACUAUAACGGUCCUAAGGUAGCGAAAUUCCUUGUCAGGU
RNAcentral lists this ribosomal RNA (1881 nucleotides) under human gut metagenome. Its description in RNAcentral is "bacterial LSU rRNA". It matches the Rfam family "Bacterial large subunit ribosomal RNA", at positions 3 to 1977 of the family's 2925-position model. The record is from RNAcentral.